GCUGUUGCAGCAGUGUGCAGGGACUCCGAUGGCCUUUUUCUGGGAUCUUCGGCGGUUGUUUACCGGGGAAUCACUGACCCGCUUAUCUUGGAAACUUAUGCUUGCAGAGAAGCGCUGUCACUUGCUGAGGAUCUUGCUCUUCAACACAUUAUGGUGGCAUCAGACUGUCAAGGUGUGGUGAAGGAAAUUUUGAACGGGACAGGAGGGCCUCAUGGAGCUAUCAUACAUGAAAUAAUGGAGCGUAGUGCUAGCUUUACUUCUUGUCGUUUUAGUCAUGAGCGUAGAAACUUUAAUUUUAAGGCGCUUAAUCUUACCAAAUUUUCCUGUAACUUAGGCUUGGGUAGACAUGUUUGGUUGGGUAACCCCCACGACCCAAACCGUGUACCUAUGAACAUUCUCUUGAAUCAAUAA
RNAcentral lists this ribosomal RNA (411 nucleotides) under Triticum aestivum (bread wheat). RNAcentral describes it as "partial small subunit ribosomal RNA". The record is from RNAcentral. Lineage: Eukaryota; Viridiplantae; Streptophyta; Magnoliopsida; Poales; Poaceae.